CGGGUGAGUAACGCGUAGGAAUCUACCUUGCAGUGGGGGACAACCCGGGGAAACUCGGGCUAAUACCGCAUACGAUUUGAGGAUGAAAGCGGGUCUUUCGGGGCACGCGCUGUGGGAUGAGCCUGCGUCCGAUUAGCUUGUUGGUGGGGUAAAGGCCUACCAAGGCGACGAUCGGUAGCUGUUCUGAGAGGAUGAUCAGCCACACUGGGACUGAGACACGGCCCAGACUCCUACGGGAGGCAGCAGUGGGGAAUAUUGGACAAUGGGGGCAACCCUGAUCCAGCAAUGCCGCGUGUGUGA
RNAcentral lists this ribosomal RNA (300 nucleotides) under uncultured Gammaproteobacteria bacterium. RNAcentral's name for it is "bacterial SSU rRNA". It matches the Rfam family "Bacterial small subunit ribosomal RNA", at positions 103 to 408 of the family's 1533-position model. The record is from RNAcentral. Lineage: Bacteria; Pseudomonadati; Pseudomonadota; Gammaproteobacteria.